Molecule: ribosomal RNA, 469 nt
Filed under: uncultured bacterium
Lineage: Bacteria
Description: partial 16S ribosomal RNA
Rfam family: Bacterial small subunit ribosomal RNA
Source: RNAcentral
GACGAACGCUGGCGGCGUGCUUAACACAUGCAAGUCGAACGGAAAGGCCCUGCUUGCAGGGUGCUCGAGUGGCGAACGGGUGAGUAACACGUGGGUGAUCUGCCCCUUACUUUGGGAUAAGCCUGGGAAACUGGGUCUAAUACUGGAUAGGACCAUGCUGUAGGUGGUGUGGUGGAAAGAUUAGUUUCGGUAAGGGAUGAGCUCGCGGCCUAUCAGCUUGUUGGUGGGGUAAUGGCCUACCAAGGCGUCGACGGGUAGCCGGCCUGAGAGGGUGGACGGCCACAUUGGGACUGAGAUACGGCCCAGACUCCUACGGGAGGCAGCAGAGGGGAAUAUUGCACAAUGGGCGCAAGCCUGAUGCAGCAACGCCGCGUGGGGGAUGACGGCCUUCGGGUUGUAAACUCCUUUCAGCCAUGACGAAGCCCUUGUGGUGACGGUAGUGGUAGAAGAAGCACCGGCUAACUACGUG